UAGGGAAUCUUCCACAAUGGACGAAAGUCUGAUGGAGCAACGCCGCGUGAGUGAAGAAGGUUUUCGGAUCGUAAAGCUCUGUUGUUGGUGAAGAAGGAUAGAGGCAGUAACUGGUCUUUAUUUGACGGUAAUCAACCAGAAAGUCACGGCUAACUACGUGCCAGCAGCCGCGGUAAUACGUAGGUGGCAAGCGUUGUCCGGAUUUAUUGGGCGUAAAGCGAGCGCAGGCGGAAUGAUAAGUCUGAUGUGAAAGCCCACGGCUCAACCGUGGAACUGCAUCGGAAACUGUCAUUCUUGAGUGCAGAAGAGGAGAGUGGAACUCCAUGUGUAGCGGUGGAAUGCGUAGAUAUAUGGAAGAACACCAGUGGCGAAGGCGGCUCUCUGGUCUGCAACUGACGCUGAGGCUCGAAAGCAUGGGUAGCGAACAGGAUUAGAUACCCUGGUAGUC
RNAcentral lists this ribosomal RNA (448 nucleotides) under uncultured bacterium. Its description in RNAcentral is "partial 16S ribosomal RNA". It matches the Rfam family "Bacterial small subunit ribosomal RNA", at positions 355 to 795 of the family's 1533-position model. The record is from RNAcentral.